CAGCAAUACCUUUAGCGGCACGCUGACCGUGACCGUCGAUCAGGUUCUGGCCAAUGGCAAUUUACACGUCGUGGGGGAAAAACAGAUCGC
RNAcentral lists this transfer RNA (90 nucleotides) under Salmonella sp. FORC89. Its description in RNAcentral is "tRNA-Ser". Lineage: Bacteria; Pseudomonadati; Pseudomonadota; Gammaproteobacteria; Enterobacterales; Enterobacteriaceae. The record is from RNAcentral.